UUAUCUGAACCUUCGGGGAACGAUAACGGCGUCGAGCGGCGGACGGGUGAGUAAUGCCUAGGAAAUUGCCCUGAUGUGGGGGAUAACCAUUGGAAACGAUGGCUAAUACCGCAUGAUGCCUACGGGCCAAAGAGGGGGACCUUCGGGCCUCUCGCGUCAGGAUAUGCCUAGGUGGGAUUAGCUAGUUGGUGAGGUAAGGGCUCACCAAGGCGACGAUCCCUAGCUGGUCUGAGAGGAUGAUCAGCCACACUGGAACUGAGACACGGUCCAGACUCCUACGGGAGGCAGCAGUGGGGAAUAUUGCACAAUGGGCGCAAGCCUGAUGCAGCCAUGCCGCGUGUAUGAAGAAGGCCUUCGGGUUGUAAAGUACUUUCAGUCGUGAGGAAGGCGGUGUCGUUAAUAGCGGGCUCGUUUGACGUUAGCGACAGAAGAAGCACCGGCUAACUCCGUGCCAGCAGCCGCGGUAAUACGGAGGGUGCGAGCGUUAAUCGGAAUUACUGGGCGUAAAGCGCAUGCAGGUGGUUUGUUAAGUCAGAUGUGAAAGCCCGGGGCUCAACCUCGGAAUAGCAUUUGAAACUGGCAGACUAGAGUACUGUAG
Molecule: ribosomal RNA, 598 nt
Filed under: Vibrio antiquarius
Lineage: Bacteria; Pseudomonadati; Pseudomonadota; Gammaproteobacteria; Vibrionales; Vibrionaceae
Description: bacterial SSU rRNA
Rfam family: Bacterial small subunit ribosomal RNA
Source: RNAcentral